RNAcentral lists this ribosomal RNA (140 nucleotides) under uncultured eukaryote. RNAcentral's name for it is "partial 18S ribosomal RNA". It matches the Rfam family "Eukaryotic small subunit ribosomal RNA", at positions 1299 to 1458 of the family's 1831-position model. The record is from RNAcentral.
UGGUGGAGUGAUUUGUCUGGUUAAUUCCGUUAACGAACGAGACCUCGACCUACUAAAUAGUACGUUAUACCUCCGGGUAUAAGUGCGACUUCUUAGAGGGACUGUCGGUUUGUAGCCGAAGGAAGAUCGAGGCAAUAACA